This 334-nucleotide ribosomal RNA is filed under the name uncultured bacterium. RNAcentral's name for it is "bacterial SSU rRNA". It matches the Rfam family "Bacterial small subunit ribosomal RNA", at positions 8 to 334 of the family's 1533-position model. The record is from RNAcentral.
AGGGUUCGAUUAUGGCUCAGGAUGAACGCUAGCUACAGGCCUAACACAUGCAAGUCGAGGGGCAGCAUGAUUGAAGCUUGCUUCAAUUGAUGGCGACCGGCGCACGGGUGAGUAACACGUAUCCAACCUUCCGCUGACUCGGGGAUAGCCUUUCGAAAGAAAGAUUAAUACCCGAUAGCAAAGGAUUUCCGCAUGGAUAUUCUUUUAAAGGAUUCCGGUCAGCGAUGGGGAUGCGUUCCAUUAGAUAGUUGGCGGGGUAACGGCCCACCAAGUCGACGAUGGAUAGGGGUUCUGAGAGGAAGGUCCCCCACAUUGGAACUGAGACACGGUCCAA